RNAcentral lists this ribosomal RNA (465 nucleotides) under uncultured bacterium. RNAcentral describes it as "bacterial SSU rRNA". It matches the Rfam family "Bacterial small subunit ribosomal RNA", at positions 28 to 507 of the family's 1533-position model. The record is from RNAcentral.
GAUGAACGCUGGCGGCGUGCCUAACACAUGCAAGUCAAGGAGAAGGUAACCUUCGGGGAACCGGAUACUGGCGCACGGGUGAGUAACACGUGGAUUAUCUACCCUUUACACAGACAUAACUCAGGGAAACUUGAGCUAAUAUCUGAUGAGGCCUCCGGGUCAAAGCUUCGGCGGUAAAGGAUGAGUCUGCGUCUGAUUAGCUAGUUGGUAAGGUAAUGGCUUACCAAGGCGACGAUCAGUAACUGGUCUGAGAGGACGAUCAGUCACACUGGAACUGAGACCCGGUCCAGACUCCUACGGGAGGCAGCAGUGAGGAAUUUUGGACAAUGGGGGAAACCCUGAUCCAGCGACGCCGCGUGUGGGAUGAAUGGGUUAUGCCCUGUAAACCACUGUCAGCAGAGAAGUAAAAGGUUCCUUUGGAACCCGGGACUGUAUCUGCAGAGGAAGGACCGGUCUAACUACGUG